UUGGGAUCGAGCAGGAAGCAGGGAACAAGGGUUUACCCCUUUGUUCUUGUAAAAACUCACCAAUUGACAAGGAAAAAUCAAUGUUAGUUAACUGCAUGUCAUAAAGUUUCGAUCAUCUAAGCAUCCCUAGUAAACCGGCGUAAAGGAAGAGGGCUCAGGUUCUAAGAAGUCGGAAAGCUCACAAGACAAAGGUAAAUCCUCAUCGUAGACUCUAUGGCGAAUUGAAGCGAGCACGUGAUCACCACUUAACAUAUCAAGCGCUUCCGCUAGUUGCUUUAAUGUUUUGGGUCAAUAAUUGUGAAAGUUUGUCUAAA
Long non-coding RNA from Helianthus annuus (common sunflower), 314 nucleotides. RefSeq lists it as uncharacterized. NCBI's taxonomy places the organism in Eukaryota, Viridiplantae, Streptophyta, Magnoliopsida, Asterales, Asteraceae. The transcript has 3 exons. The record is from RefSeq and is a predicted model, not a curated record.